Molecule: ribosomal RNA, 274 nt
Filed under: uncultured bacterium
Lineage: Bacteria
Description: partial 16S ribosomal RNA
Rfam family: Bacterial small subunit ribosomal RNA
Source: RNAcentral
UACGUAGGGUGCGAGCGUUGUCCGGAAUUAUUGGGCGUAAAGAGCUCGUAGGCGGUGUGUCGCGUCGGCCGUGAAAACCUGCAGCUCAACUGCAGGCUUGCAUUCGAUACGGGCAGGCGUCGAGUUCGGUAGGGGAGACUGGAAUUCCUGGUGUAGCGGUGAAAUGCGCAGAUAGUCAGGAGGAACACCGGUGGCGAAGGCGGGUCUCUGGGCCGAUACUGACGCUGAGGAGCGAAAGCGUGGGGAGCGAACAGGAUAGAUACCCUUGUAGCUC